Molecule: non-coding RNA, 27 nt
Filed under: Homo sapiens (human)
Lineage: Eukaryota; Metazoa; Chordata; Mammalia; Primates; Hominidae
Source: RNAcentral
UGUUCAGCAUUUGGGGCCAUACUGCCU